This 65-nucleotide transfer RNA is filed under the name Dipodomys ordii (Ord's kangaroo rat). It matches the Rfam family "tRNA". From Rfam's summary of the family: Transfer RNA (tRNA) molecules are approximately 80 nucleotides in length. Their secondary structure includes four short double-helical elements and three loops (D, anti-codon, and T loops). Further hydrogen bonds mediate the characteristic L-shaped molecular structure. tRNAs have two regions of fundamental functional importance: the anti-codon, which is responsible for specific mRNA codon recognition, and the 3' end, to which the tRNAs corresponding amino acid is attached (by aminoacyl-tRNA synthetases). tRNAs cope with the degeneracy of the genetic code in two manners: having more than one tRNA (with a specific anti-codon) for a particular amino acid; and 'wobble' base-pairing, i.e. permitting non-standard base-pairing at the 3rd anti-codon position. Lineage: Eukaryota; Metazoa; Chordata; Mammalia; Rodentia; Heteromyidae. The record is from Rfam by way of RNAcentral.
GGUGGCUUAGUGGUAGAGUGCUUGCCUUGCAUGCAAGAGUCCCUAGGUUCAAGUCCUUAACACCA